ACUCAAAUGAAUUGACGGGGACCCGCACAAGCGGUGGAGCAUGUGGUUUAAUUCGAUGCAACGCGAAGAACCUUACCUGGCCUUGACAUCUGUCGAAUCCUGCAGAGAUGCGGGAGUGCCUUCGGGAACGAUAAGACAGGUGCUGCAUGGCUGUCGUCAGCUCGUGUCGUGAGAUGUUGGGUUAAGUCCCGCAACGAGCGCAACCCUUGCCCUUAGUUGCCAUCAUUAAGUUGGGAACUCUAAGGGGACCGCCGGUGACAAACCGGAGGAAGGUGGGGAUGACGUCAAGUCAUCAUGGCCUUUAUGGCCAGGGCUACACACGUGCUACAAUGGUCGGUACAAAGGGUUGCCAACCCGCGAGGGGGAGCCAAUCUCAGAAAGCCGAUCGUAGUCCGGAUUGCAGUCUGCAACUCGACUGCAUGAAGUCGGAAUCGCUAGUAAUCGUGAAUCAGCGAUGUCACGGUGAAUACGUUCCCGGGUCUUGCACACACCGCCCGU
This 498-nucleotide ribosomal RNA is filed under the name uncultured bacterium. Its description in RNAcentral is "partial 16S ribosomal RNA". It matches the Rfam family "Bacterial small subunit ribosomal RNA", at positions 899 to 1397 of the family's 1533-position model. The record is from RNAcentral.